Papaver somniferum (opium poppy) is the source of this 83-nucleotide small nucleolar RNA. The record is from RefSeq and is a predicted model, not a curated record. Lineage: Eukaryota; Viridiplantae; Streptophyta; Magnoliopsida; Ranunculales; Papaveraceae.
UGGCUAUGAUUACAAAAUACCCGCGCUUCUGAGAGUUAUCUGUGAAGCUAAAUAAAAAUGGUUGAAUUUCUUGAUAUGAUACA